UUCAGCAGGCCCCCGUAAUUCCAGCUCCAAUAGCGUAUAUUAAAGUUGUUGCAGUUAAAACGUCCGUAGUCAAAUUUUAGUCUUUAGGCGAGGUGGCCUGGUCUUCAUUGAUCAAGCUCGUCUCUGCCGAGACUUUUUUUUUGGUUAUGCUAUUGUUGGCUUCGGUCGGCGGUAGUCUCUAGCCAAAUGAUUACCAUGAGCAAAUCAGAGUGUUUAAAGCAGGCUUUCAAGCUUGAAUGUGUUAGCAUGGAAUAAUGAAAUAUGACUUUAGUUCUUAUUUCGUUGGUUCAGGAACUUAAGUAAUGAUGAAUAGAAACGGUUGGGGGCAUUUGUAUUUGGUCGCUAGAGGUGAAAUUCUUGGAUUGACCGAAGACAAACUACUGCGAAAGCAUUUGACCCAGGACGUUUUCAUUGAUCAAGGUCUAAAGUUAAGGGAUCGAAGACGAUUAGAUACCGUCGUAGUCUUAACCACAAACUAUGCCGACUAGCGAUUGGGCCUGUUUAUUAUGACUGGCUCAGCAGCUUAGCGAAAGUAAAGUUUUUGGGUUCUGGGGGGAGUAUGGGACGCAAGGCUGAAACUUAAAGGAAUUGACGGAAGGGCACCACCAGGAGUGGAGCCUGCGGCUUAAUUUGACUCAACACGGAA
Molecule: ribosomal RNA, 646 nt
Filed under: Mucor irregularis
Lineage: Eukaryota; Fungi; Mucoromycota; Mucoromycetes; Mucorales; Mucoraceae
Description: SSU rRNA
Rfam family: Eukaryotic small subunit ribosomal RNA
Source: RNAcentral